AACGCACAUUGCGCCCUUUGGUAUUCCGAAGGGCAUGCCUGUUCGAGCGUCAUUACACCACUCAAGCCUGGCUUGGUAUUGGGCGACGCGGGACCCCCGCGCGCCUCAAAGUCUUUCCGGCUGAGUCGUCCGUCUCCAAGCGUUGUGGCACACAAGUCGCGGCGAGAUCGGGCGGCGUGGCCGUUAAAUCUUUCAUUCAGGUUGACCUCGGAUCAGGUAGGGAUACCCGCUGAACUUAA
Molecule: unclassified non-coding RNA, 239 nt
Filed under: uncultured fungus
Lineage: Eukaryota; Fungi
Description: partial contains 5.8S ribosomal RNA, internal transcribed spacer 2, and large subunit ribosomal RNA
Rfam family: 5.8S ribosomal RNA (bases 1-52)
Source: RNAcentral